Long non-coding RNA from Podarcis raffonei (Aeolian wall lizard), 551 nucleotides. RefSeq lists it as uncharacterized. The record is from RefSeq and is a predicted model, not a curated record. The transcript is spliced from 3 exons. NCBI's taxonomy places the organism in Eukaryota, Metazoa, Chordata, Lepidosauria, Squamata, Lacertidae.
GGAUCACACCUGGCAAGGGCUUCCAGCCACCCCCGCGCACCAUUCCCUAGCCAAGAAUACUAUACCGUGUCCCCCCCCCAGACCCCUGGAAUGAGUUGAGACCGCGUGUAACCCCCGGCCCCCAGAAUAUUUCCCGGCCUCUUACGAAGCCGCGGGGGCGGGGAUGACAGAAAGCGAGCCCGGCAGAAGCCUGAGGCCUACCGAGGCUUCGGCGAAGUGGAGGGGAAAUGGUGGAAGAGGCCGCUGGGGCGCCUCGCACGGAGACACCGGCCGCAAUGCCGGGCCCGCCGGCCGGCCAGCCAGCCAGGCUGCAGUACAGCGCAUACUUUCCUGCCACUGGGCCUUGUGAAACCCUGUCAACGUGCAUGAGCUUGGACUGCAAUUCACGUCAGAGUGUGUAGCUACGCUUUUUUAUUGUACUCGUGUCUACUGCUGAUGCCAUGGCUCCUAGCAUCCCAGUCUUGAACCAUGGUGCAAGGAUCCAUGCAUUUCUUCUGUCUGAAAGAUGGCUUCCCAGCCUGAAAUGAUAAUAAAAUGUCAACUAACAGCAA